GAAUGCUGACAUGAGUAACGACAAAGGGGGUGAAAAACCUCCUCGCCGGAAGACCAAGGGUUCCUGUCCAACGUUAAUCGGGGCAGGGUGAGUCGACCCCUAAGGUGAGGCCGAAAGGCGUAAUCGAUGGGAAACGGGUUAAUAUUCCCGUACUUCUGACUAUUGCGAUGGGGGGACGGAGAAGGCUAGGUGGGCCAGGCGACGGUUGUCCUGGUUCAAGUGCGUAGGCUUGAGAGUUAGGUAAAUCCGGCUCUCUCUAAGGCUGAGACACGACGUCGAGCUGCUACGGCAGUGAAGUCAUUGAUGCCAUGCUUCCAGGAAAAGCCUCUAAGCUUCAGAUAGUCAGGAAUCGUACCCCAAACCGACACAGGUGGUCGGGUAGAGAAUACCAAGGCGCUUGAGAGAACUCGGGUGAAGGAACUAGGCAAAAUGGUACCGUAACUUCGGGAGAAGGUAC
RNAcentral lists this ribosomal RNA (457 nucleotides) under Vibrio cholerae. RNAcentral describes it as "partial 23S ribosomal RNA". It matches the Rfam family "Bacterial large subunit ribosomal RNA", at positions 1292 to 1749 of the family's 2925-position model. Lineage: Bacteria; Pseudomonadati; Pseudomonadota; Gammaproteobacteria; Vibrionales; Vibrionaceae. The record is from RNAcentral.